This 3335-nucleotide ribosomal RNA is filed under the name Sporomusa termitida. Its description in RNAcentral is "23S ribosomal RNA". It matches the Rfam family "Bacterial large subunit ribosomal RNA". Lineage: Bacteria; Bacillati; Bacillota; Negativicutes; Selenomonadales; Sporomusaceae. The record is from RNAcentral.
UCAAGUUAGUAAGGGCAUACGGUGGAUGCCUAGGCGCCAAGAGCCGAAGAAGGACGCGGUAAGCUGCGAAAAGUCAUGGGGAGCCGCAAGCAGGCCCUGAUCCAUGAAUAUCCGAAUGGGGGAACCCAAUGGUGGUCAUGCACCAUUACCUGACUCCGGUUAGGAGGGCACCCGGGGAACUGAAACAUCUAAGUACCCGGAGGAAAAGUAAUCAAACGAGAUUCCCUAAGUAGCGGCGAGCGAACGGGGAAGAGCCCAAACCAGUGGACUUCGGUCGACUGGGGUUGAGGACUGACAACAAACAAACGAGCUCUAGCCGAAUCAUCUGGAAAGAUGAGUCACAGAAGGUAACAACCCUGUAGGCGAAAGAGAGAGUUUGCGGGUCAGAAUCCAGAGUACCACGGGACACGAGGAACCCUGUGGGAAGCAGGGGGGACCACCCUCCAAGGCAAAAUACUCGUGGCGACCGAUAGCGCAUAGUACCGUGAGGGAAAGGUGAAAAGCACCCCGGGAGGGGAGUGAAAAAGAACCUGAAACCGUAUGCCUACAAGCAGUCGAAGGCCCGUAUGAGGCUGACGGCGUGCCUAUUGAAGAAUGAACCGGCGAGUUACAGUAUCCAGCAAGGUUAAGUGGCAGACACGGAGCCGAAGCGAAAGCGAGUCUAAAGAGGGCGAAAGUUGGAUAAUGUAGACCCGAAACCGCAGUGAUCUAUCCAUGGCCAGGUUGAAGCGCAGGUAAAAAUGCGUGGAGGACCGAACCCGUGAGCGUUGAAAAGCUUUGGGAUGAGUUGUGGAUAGGGGUGAAAUGCCAAUCGAACGCGGAGAUAGCUGGUUCUCCCCGAAAUAGCUUUAGGGCUAGCCUCAGGAAAUAAGUACAGACGGUAGAGCACUGAUAGGGCUAGGGGCCUAAUGGGUUACUGAACCUUGUCAAACUACGAAUGGAUGUACUCGAACCCUGGGAGUCAGACUACGAGUGAUAAGACCCGUGGUCAAGAGGGAAACAGCCCAGACCAUCAGCUAAGGUCCCGAAUGCCGUACUAAGUGGCAAAGGAUGUGGAGAUACAAAAACAACCAGGAUGUUGGCUUAGAAGCAGCCACCAUUGAAAGAGUGCGUAAUAGCUCACUGGUCGAGUGUCGCUGCGCCGAAGAUGUCCGGGGCUAAAGUACGGAACCGAAGCUAUGGCUUUUUGGAUGUUGGACUUUGGACAUUGGACGUUAGAAAAGGACGUGUAAAAAGUGUCAUAUGAGAACUUAGAAAUAUAUAAGUUAGCCUAUGAACUGGCUUUAAAAACACACAAACUAACGACAAACUUUCCGAAACAUGAAACCUGCGAAAUAGGAAGCCAGUUGCGAAGGGCGGCUGUAUCCAUAGUGCUAAACCUAGCGGAAGGAUAUGGACGCAAAGAGCAUCAACAAGAUUUAAAAAACUUCCUGAUAACAGCAGUAGGCUCAUGCAACGAGACAACCGUUUUAAUCAAAAUGGUGAGAGAUUUGGGAUAUAUAAGUGAAGAAGAGAGCAAAGAGAUGCUCAAUUCUUACGAGCGCUUGGGAAAACAGACCAACAAAUUUAUCCAAGCAAUAAAAAAUCCAAAAUCCAGCGUCUAAAGUCCAACAUCCAAAAGGGGUAGGGGAGCGUUCUAUACACGAAGAAGGUAUACCGUAAGGAGUGCUGGAGAGUAUAGAAGUGAGAAUGCCGGUAUGAGUAGCGAAAAGACAAGUGAGAAUCUUGUCCACCGAAAGCCUAAGGAUUUCUGAGGAAGGAUCGUCCGCUCAGAGUUAGUCGGGCCCUAAGCCGAGGCGAAAAGCGUAGGCGAUGGACAACUGGUAAAAAGUCCAGUACCACCUGGAAUCGAUUGAGCGAGGGAGUGACACAGGAGGGUAGGCAAGCGCGAGGAUGGAAAUUCGCGUCUAAGCUUGUAGGGUGCAUCACAGGCAAAUCCGUGAUGCUAAAACCUGAGGAGUGAUGGGCAGCUGUUAGAGAUAAUGGCGAAAUUGCUGAUCCCAGACUGUCAAGAAAAGCUUCUAGUGAGAGACCAGGUGCCCGUACCGUAAACCGACACAGGUAGGCGGGGAGAGAAUCCUAAGGUGCGCGGGAGAACCCUCGUUAAGGAACUCGGCAAAAUGUCCCCGUAACUUCGGGAAAAGGGGAGCUUGUAAACCGUGUAGAUCAGAAGCGAACGAAGCGGGAAUGAGUUGCAAAAAAGAGGCCCAAGCGACUGUUUACCACAAACACAGGUGCCUGCUAAAGCGAAAGCUGACGUAUAGGUGCUGACACCUGCCCGGUGCCGGAAGGUUAAGAGGAGAGCUUAGAGCAAUCGAAGGUUUGAAUUGAAGCCCCGGUAAACGGCGGCCGUAACUAUAACGGUCCUAAGGUAGCGAAAUUCCUUGUCGGGUAAGUUCCGACCCGCACGAAAGGUGUAACGACUUGGGCACUGUCUCAACGAGGGACCCGGUGAAAUUGAAAUACCUGUGAAGAUGCAGGUUACCCGCGACUGGACAGAAAGACCCCAUGGAGCUUUACUGCAACCUGACAUUGAGUUUUGGUAAAUGAUGUACAGGAUAGGUGGGAGACAGGGAAGUGCGGACGCAAGUCUGUAUGGAGUCGAUGUUGGGAUACCACCCUUUAUUUACUGGAGUUCUAACUCAAGGAGUAACGAAACUGAGGACAGUGUCAGGCGGGCAGUUUGACUGGGGCGGUCGCCUCCGAAAGAGUAACGGAGGCGCCCAAAGGUUCCCUCAGCGCGGCUGGAAAUCGCGCGAAGAGUGUAAAGGCAGAAGGGAGCUUGACUGCAAGACAGACAAGUCGAGCAGGGACGAAAGUCGGGCUUAGUGAUCCGGUGGUACCGAGUGGAAGGGCCAUCGCUCAACGGAUAAAAGCUACCCUGGGGAUAACAGGCUAAUCUCUCCCAAGAGUCCAUAUCGACGGGGAGGUUUGGCACCUCGAUGUCGGCUCAUCACAUCCUGGGGCUGAAGUAGGUCCCAAGGGUUGGGCUGUUCGCCCAUUAAAGUGGUACGUGAGCUGGGUUCAGAACGUCGUGAGACAGUUCGGUCCCUAUCCAUCGCGGGCGUAAGAGACUUGAAGGGAACUGCUCCUAGUACGAGAGGACCGGAGUGGACGGACCGCUGGUGUACCAGUUAUCCCGCCAGGGGUAGAGCUGGGUAGCUACGUCCGGAAAGGAUAAACGCUGAAAGCAUCUAAGCGUGAAACCAGCCUUAAGAUGAGGUCUGUCAUUCGCAAGAAGUAAGGCCCCUUGAAGAAGACAAGGUAGAUAGGCCAGGAGUGGAAGUGGAGCAAUUCAUGGAGCGGACUGGUACUAAUAGGCCGAGGACUUGACU